CGAAGCUGCGGCAGCAUGUUUACAUGCUGGGUAGGGGAGCGUUGUGUAAGUGGAUGAAGGUGAGUUGUAAAGCUUGCUGGACAUAUCACAAGUGCGAAUGCUGACAUGAGUAACGAUAAUGGGAGUGAAAAACUCCCACGCCGGAAGACCAAGGUUUCCUGUCCCAUGCUAAUCAGGGCAGGGUAAGUCGGCCCCUAAGGCGAGGCAGAAAUGCGUAGUCGAUGGGAAACGGGUUAAUAUUCCCGUACUUAUAUAAUCAGUGAUGGAGGGACGGAGAAGGCUAGGCAAGCUUGGCGUUGGUUGUCCAAGUGAAAGUGAGUAGGCUGAAGACUUAGGUAAAUCCGGGUUUUCAAGGCCGAGACACGAGACGAGCUCCCAAGGGAGUGAAGUUGUUGAUGCCCUGCUUCCAGGAAAAGCUUCUAAACUUAUGAUUAUAUGAACCGUACCCCAAACCGACACAGGUGGUCAGGUAGAGAAUACUAAGGCGCUUGAGAGAACUCGGGUGAAGGAACUCGGCAAAAUUGUACCGUAACUUCGGGAGAAGGUACGCCUCUGUUUGUGAACACUUCGCGUGGUAAGCAAAUGGAGGCCGCAGUGACCAGGUGGCUGGGACUGUUUAUUAAAAACACAGCACUCUGCAAACUCGUAAGAGGACGUAUAGGGUGUGACACCUGCCCGGUGCCGGAAGGUUAAUUGAUGGGGUUAGUUUUCGGACGAAGCUCUUGAUCGAAGCCCCGGUAAACGGCGGCCGUAACAAUAACGGUCCUAAGGUAGCGAAAUUCC
Molecule: ribosomal RNA, 783 nt
Filed under: Micromonas pusilla
Lineage: Eukaryota; Viridiplantae; Chlorophyta; Mamiellophyceae; Mamiellales; Mamiellaceae
Description: partial Bacterial large subunit ribosomal RNA
Rfam family: Bacterial large subunit ribosomal RNA
Source: RNAcentral